RNAcentral lists this long non-coding RNA (288 nucleotides) under Homo sapiens (human). RNAcentral describes it as "LNC_000682". Lineage: Eukaryota; Metazoa; Chordata; Mammalia; Primates; Hominidae. The record is from RNAcentral.
CAUUUUCAAAAGGAUUUCAAAAUCGGUGCUGCCACUUCCCCCAGUAACCGGACCUGUGGGGCCUGGGAGAUGCUUUUGUGAGGAGGGGUCUGGAAGGUGGAACUUUCUAACCACCAGCACCUUUGAAAAGUGUUGUGCUGUGGAGGGAUGAGCUUGCUGUCAGGAGAAACAUGGAAGCCUUGGGGAGCCGCUGGGCUGUUGGCUGAGACCUGGCCUUCUCUAGAAGGAAUCCAAGACAUCAGGCACAUUCCCAGGAGCGGGCUUGAUGGGUGGAAUGGCAACCGUAGG